Molecule: long non-coding RNA, 2565 nt
Organism: Cephus cinctus (wheat stem sawfly)
Lineage: Eukaryota; Metazoa; Arthropoda; Insecta; Hymenoptera; Cephidae
Exons: 7
Source: RefSeq, a predicted model, not a curated record
UUCAGAAAGAACAGACGCCAUUAGUCUUACGCACACACCGUUCGAUGAUUGACGAUUCUUGUCCACAUCAGGAAUUUUUGACAGUUAGACUUUAACGUCCGUGACGUGAUAAGCUGGUGGAUCGUAAAUCGGUCAGCAUUUGCACAGGUCACAGAUGAAUUCACAUUGACACGCGAAGACUUGUGUCAAAAUGAGAAAAGAAAUUGCGAGGAAAAAAUCGAGGAAGAAACGUUCAAAGAAAUUUAUCCCGUGCAGGAGUGCAUUCAUGGAGAAGUUGGCGGCCUUGCGGUAGUUUUACUGUACCGUAACGCCGGUACUUUAUCGACUACGUUCCUGCAACGGGCGUCCGUCCGACGUGCAUUCUGCACUAAGGACAAUACUUAACAGCCUCAUACAUCGUAUAGGAGUAAGUACGAUAUCAUAAAUGGAAUUGAUAUUGAAAUUACGAAAAUGACAGACGCCGACCACUAUGGAUAUACACAAAGAGAAUAGGCAGUAGGCAUGUCCUAUAAAAUAGAUAAUAGAUGCGUUCACGACCCAAACCUACAUUUCUCAAUUGCUGCGGUUGCUCCAGAUCCUCGCUUUAUCGGAUGGCUAAGAAUUAAUUGAACAAAAUCGAUCGUUCGCCGAAUAACGGACAACGGCAUUAUACCGACGUCAACACCAGUUGAGCAUACUAAUUUUUUAAUUAUCAUCAUCAUAUGUUCCUAAUUACAAUAACUAUGAUAAUGAGAGCCGUAAAGAGAAUAGAAAUUGUAUUCAUUCCGGCUGAAUAACAGUAUAUGCUUAUACUACCAGGCUACCGAACAGUACUAAUAAAGGAUAAAGGAAGAAGUUACCUAUCCGCUUCCUUGGUCAAAAGAGCAACUUCAUCUUUACCAACAAAACACGUCUCUUUGAUAACAGGUUUUUCUUUAAAAAAAUACAUAUUUCUCAUUUUGCCCAUUUACAACGCACUGUAGUGUCCGCCGCAUGCGAUAAAUAGUUUUAUUAUGUUAAUAAGAGUAUACAGUAUCCUUUCUUCGAAGCACGCGCCACACACUACAUAUAUUUUUCUCAAUAUACCAGUAUCAUACUUACACAUACUUCAUAGUGAAGUGUGAAAUUCUCUUGAGGUCAGGUCAAGCAACGAGGUAUACGUAUGUGAUUUAUGCACCGAUUAAGUCGACUCUAUUGACUCGAUCCAGUCUGAUAAUAUAUUAUACAAUUUUAUUGACUAUGAUUAAUCGAUGACUGUCGCGGCAUCAGACAGCUGACAGUAACCGCCAUGUAUGGUUUCUAUCUUUAAAUAAAAGAACAGCUGUCGUGAGAAUCAAGUUCAUGCACAGGUGCGUAAGUGGUACCAGGCUUGGCGAACAUAGAAGACAUCGACGCUUGGUUAGAGCUGUUCGAAUUCCGACUCCACCCUUGAAUACGUACACGUAUAUACAUAUAUAGCAAUGAUAUAUAUUGCAUUGCCUAUAUUAGAUUUUUUUUAGAAUAUUUCUUCUAUGCCGUCGGCUACGCUCCAGUGGAUGGCCUACAGGAGUGUCUACAGGAGUCUGUAGAUAUAACGGGUUCCUUGAACGAGAAUCCGAAUGUACAAUUUUGCCGGUUCAUUAAUGGCUUCGAUGACGUCACGGAAUAGGCACGUUGCAACAACAUUCUAUACUCUAUUGGUCCGAAGUAUUUCCACUAUUCUUGCGCUCUGUUUCUUUCACGCGGGGUACCGAUCGUGUCGCGCUCUAAACCCUGAAGAGACAGUUCUUUUGAUCAGCGAACCGCGUCCACUUCGUGUGCCCACGAUACUUGCUGACCCACUUCCGUCAUCGGAGCGUCACUUCGCACUGGGACAGGUUUAUCAUACAUAAGUCUCGUUGAACCCACUGGGCCCCUCAAGUAUUGAAAGAAACAAAAGAGAGACUGGGUCAGGACCACUAUUCGCGGCUCGUUGAUCGAGUUACGAACAAGAGGGAACUUAAGUUUCUUUCAGCAUUGAUUGCAACACUGAUUUCGAAAGACCCGUCCCGGUAAUAUCAACCAUCGCGUGGUCACUGAUAAAGGAAAAAUAUAUUCCUGCCACGAAAUCCUGGAAGAAUUUAAGGAAUUCAACCCUCGGGAUACUUCGAGGAAGUUUCAAAGAUACGAGCGAACCUUGUUGCUCCCACAGUAAACGCCAACACUUUCGAAAUCACCGGCAGCGCCCAAAAUGGAGAAGCAUGAAGCUUGAGGAUGACCCGAUUCCGGGUGUCCUUGACCGAGCAGUCUGAAGAUAGUUAGAAAUGCCAGUAGUCAGUGGGGGUACUCUCCGUUAACUCUGAACCUGUUACCGCCUAAGAACGCCUCAGGCCCAACGAGUCUCAUAUACGCGCAUUCCUCGCAGCCAUUACGUACGCCAAGGACCUGGACGAUCCACAGAGAAUCUAAAUCCAUCGAAGGAUUCUGACAGCCACGUGACAUCGUAUAAAUUCACCAGCCUGUCAUCCUAAAUAAUCAAACAAUAACAUCAACCCACCAAGGAUACGUGAUCUAACGAGCUGAUGCAUAUCUGAAGAGAUAAAAAAAAAUCGACAACUCACCACAAAA